AGUGAACGCUGGCGGUAGGCCUAACACAUGCAAGUCGAACGGCAGCACAGUAAGAGCUUGCUCUUACGGGUGGCGAGUGGCGGACGGGUGAGGAAUACAUCGGAAUCUACUUUUUCGUGGGGGAGAACGUAGGGAAACUUACGCUAAUACCGCAUACGACCUACGGGUGAAAGCAGGGGAUCUUCGGACCUUGCGCGAGUGAAUGAGCCGAUGUCGGAUUAGCUAGUUGGCGGGGUAAAGGCCCACCAAGGCGACGAUCCGUAGCUGGUCUGAGAGGAUGAUCAGCCACACUGGAACUGAGACACGGUCCAGACUCCUACGGGAGGCAGCAGUGGGGAAUAUUGGACAAUGGGCGCAAGCCUGAUCCAGCCAUGCCGCGUGUGUGAAGAAGGCCUUCGGGUUGUAAAGCCCUUUUGUUGGGAAAGAAAAGCAGCAGGUUAAUACCCCGCUGUUCUGACGGUACCCAAAGAAUAAGCACCGGCUAACUUCGUG
Molecule: ribosomal RNA, 492 nt
Filed under: uncultured bacterium
Lineage: Bacteria
Description: partial 16S ribosomal RNA
Rfam family: Bacterial small subunit ribosomal RNA
Source: RNAcentral